GCGGUAUUGGUGGACUAUUAGAUCAUCCUGGACAUUACUACUUGGAUUCUAGGUUGAAGGUAACUUGGGCACUUGGAUUUGUGAUAUUUUGACCUAAGCUUAGUAGCUUGUAUAUGCCCCAUUGGAUCAUCUUGGAUAUUACUACUUGGAUUCUAGGUUGGAGGUAACUUGGGCACUUGGAUUUGUGAUAUUUUGACCUAAGCUUAGUAGCUUGUAUGUGCCCCAUAUAUGGAUAUGAGCAUGGAGAUGAUACAAAUGGAUCGGAGUUGGUAGUCUUUGAUGAUUUUGCUAGCCCUCCCCAUAUUUAUUGGACUUAGAUAACUAUGAUACUAGGUUUGGUUGGAUUAUAAUUAUAAUUUUUGCUAGAUUCCUUUGAAGAUUGAAGCUGGAGAACUUUAGGGUGUAGUAUGAUCAACUUGAGAUAUAUUAGAUUUAUAUAGGUAUAUAUGAUUGGCAUGAGUGUGGUAUUGGUGGACUAUUGGAUCAUCUUGGAUAUCACUACUUGGAUUCUAGGUUGGAGGUAACUUGGGCACUUGGAUUUGUGAUAUUUUUACCUAAGCUUAGUAGCUUGUAUGUGCCCCAUAUGGAUAAGAGCAUGGAGAUGAUACAAAUGGAUCGGAGUUGGUAGACUUUGAUGAUUUUGCUAGCCCUCAUGUGUAUUGGAAUUACACAUAACUAUGAUACUAGGUUUGGUUGGAUCAUAGUUAUGAUUUUGUGCUAGAUUCCUUUGAAGAUUGAAGCACUACUUGGAUUCUAGGUUGGAGGUAACUUGGGCACUUGGAUUUGUGAUAUUUUUACCUGAGCUUAGUAGCUUGUAUGUGCCCCAUAUGGAUAUGAGCAUGGAGAUGAUACAAAUGGAUCGGAGUUGGUAGACUUUGAUGAUUUUGCUAGCCCUCAUGUGUAUUGGACUUAGAUAACUAUGAUACUAGGCUUGGUUGGAUCAUAGUUAUGAUUUGGUGCUAGAUUCCUUUGAAGAUUGAAGCUGGAGAACUUUAGGGUGUAGUAUGAUCAACCUGAGAUAUAUCCGAUUUAUAUAUGUAUAGUAUGAUUGGCAUGGGUGCAGUAUUGGUGGACUUUUGGAUCAUCUUGGAUAUUACUACUUGAAUUCUAUGUUGGAGAUAACUUGGGCACUUGGAUUUGUGAUAUUUUGACCUAAGCUUGGUAGCUUGUAUAUGCUCGAUAUGGAUAUGAGUAUGGAGAUGAUACAAAUGGAUCGGAGUUGGUACCCUUUGAUGAUUUUGCUAACCCUCCCCAAGAAUGUUAUGAGUACAAGAUCAUCAUGGGAGGAUAAUUUGAAUUAAUUAGAAUAGAUGGCAAUUUCAGUGGUAUGUGCCUUUUUGGGGCAACUGAUCUUGCUUUUAUUAUGUGUUGGAUGCAAUAGUAGUUGGAGAGUAUGACUUAUGAAGUGAUAUUAUAUUCUUGGAUAAAUAGAUCUUUAAUAAACCUUGGGUGAUUGUGAUCUUGAAAAAAAUCUCGUGGAUGAUAACUUCUAAUUUUUUUUAUCUAUAGUCAUCAAGUGCAAGCUUGCUUUAUAUUGGAUUUCCAAACCGUGAUACUAAGCUUGGUUGGGUCAUGAUUAUGAUUUGUUCUAGAUUCCCACCUUUGAAGAUUGAACCUGGAGAACUUUUGGGUGUAGUACGAUCAACGUGAGAUAUAUUGAAUUUAUAUAGGUGUAGUACAAUUAGCAUGAUUGUGGAAUUGGUGGACCAUUGGAUCAUCUUGGAUUGAAUUACUUGUAAGGAAACAAAGAUCUUUGAGUAAUAGAAAUGGUGUUUGGUUAGAUGAUAUAACUACUUGGUUUCUAGGUUGGAGAUAAAUUGGGCACUUGGAUUUGUGAUUUUUUUUACCUAAGAUUAGUAGCUUGUAUGUGCCCCAUGUGGAUUCGAGCAUCGAGAUGAUACAAAAGGGAUUGGAAUUGGCAGACUUUGAUAGUUUUGAUGGCCCUCCGUGAGAAUGUUAUGAGUACAUGAUCAUCAUGGAAGGAUGGUUUGGAUUAAUUAGAAUAGAUGGCAAUUUUGUUGGUAUGUUCCUUAUUGGAGCAGCUGAUCUCGAGAAAUGCGCAUCCGACGACUCACCAGAUCCGAACACCGACAACCCUUGUGCUCAUCACUAUAACCUAAAAAGACACACUCAACAUAUUGAUCAGACAAUUUGGUGCGUGAAGAACGUAGCAGAAGCAACCAAACAAACGAAGUGUUUAGUAGUUACGAGAAUGCCACAAAGACGCACGAGAGGAAUAUAACUGUGUAGAGCAGAGGAAGUAUGAAUGUUGAUGAGAUAGGUGGCUACGAUCAUCAACGCACUAUCCGCCUCAUGAAGGUGCCGAUGCUUGCGCUCAGAGCGGCACCAUUCUGAGCCUGAGCACGAGGGUAAGAGAACUGAGCAAGUGUGAUAGCUUGCAUGUGCCCCAUAUGGAUAUGAGCAUGGAGAUGAUACAAAUGGAUCGGAGAUGGUAGACUUUGAUGAUUUUGCUAACCCUCCUCAUAUGUACCGGACUUAGAUAACUACGAUACUAGGCUUGGUUGGAUCGUAGUUACGAUUUGUGCUAGAUUCCUUCCUUUGAAGAUUGAAGCUGGAAAACUUUAGGGUGUAGUAUGAUCAACCUGAGAUAUAUCGGAUUUAUAUAGGUAUAGUAGGAUUAGCAUGACUACGGUAUCGGUGGACUAUUGGGAUCAUCUUGGAAAUGGAUCGGAGAUGGUAGACUUUGAUGAUUUUGCUAACCCUCCUCAUAUGUACCGGACUUAGAUAACUACGAUACUAGGCUUGGUUGGAUCGUAGUUACGAUUUGUGCUAGAUUCCUUCCUUCGAAGAUUGAAGCUGGAAAACUUUAGGGUGUAGUAUGAUCAACCUGAGAUAUAUCGGAUUUAUAUAGGUAUAGUAGGAUUAGCAUGACUACGGUAUCGGUGGACUAUUGGGAUCAUCUUGGAUAUUGCUACUUGGAUUCUAGGUUGGAGAUAACUUGGGCACUUGGAUUUGUGAUAUUUUGACCUAAGCUUAGUAGCUUGUAUGUGCCCCAUAUGGAUACGAGCAUGGAGUUGGUAGACUUUGAUGAUUUUGCUAACAACCCUCCCCCCCACCCCACCCCAAGAAUGUUACGAGUACAAGAUCAUCAUGGGAGGAUGAUUUGGAUUAAUUAGAAUAGAUGGCAAUUUCAAUGGUAUGUGCCUUUUUGGAGCAGCUUAUCUCGCGUUUAUUAUGUCUUUGUGCUAGUUUAGAUGCAAUAGUAGUAGGAGGGGGUAGCAUAGGAGGCACACCUCCCCCUUGCCACCGUCAAGGCCGAAACCUGGCGAGAGGGAGACAUGCAUGAGCGGGUCGGGGCAGAAAGCACAAGGCUGCACUUUAGCAUCUUCAUCGGCACCUCGUUGGGGUCGUCCACCCAUGCCCUGACAACAAAGUACGAGAGGUCGAGCCUGUCGAAGGAUUCAAUGGCCAUAUGGUAGAUUAGGCAUUCGGGCAACAGUUCUUGGGCGGUUUGAGGCGAGAACUCCCGCAGGGGAUGCGUUGGAUGGACAACCCAACGCUGUAGCAGCAUUGAACCGAUGUGGCGAAGGUUAUCUUGUUCGACCGCCACACUAGGAGCAGCGUGCCGCGGUAGUGUACUGCGUCCACCCCACGAACCAUGUCGAACCACCGGUAGUGCGUGAAGCUAGCGAAGAAAGAUCCUAGCUGCAUGAGAGAGACCUGAAAGCCGUUUGUUCGAAAGCUCCGGGAAGUCGUCCUUGAUGCCCUCAACAAUUUUUACCAGGAUUAGAGACGACCUCGUACCCGCCACCAUGAGCACCAGCGCCAAAUCCCAUAGGUAAGAACAUAUCCUCGAUGAGGCACCUCGUCUUGCGCGAGCGGGUGUUGCCCCUCGCUGGGUCGUACGCGAACCUAGCCGACAUGGAAGGCUCCAGCGACGAAGGGGCGGGUGGCUCCUUGUCGGGAAAGGUGAACCUGGAAUGAGUCGGCGAUUCGGGUGGUCGAGGGGUUGGGGGGACCAGCCUGGAUUGGACUGACUAGCGGAGGCGGCGGGGGUGGCAGCUGCACUCACGGCCUUGGCGGUGGUCAAGGCGGGGCUAAGAGUAGUGAUGGACUCAUUAGCGGCGGCCAGGUCAUCAUGGCGGCGCGUGAAGUUCCUUCUGAAGCACAUCCUCUAGCCCAAGUGGUACAUUUGUUCAUUUGUGAUAUGUUCUGUUAGUGUUAUGUUCUCGUUGUCUCUUGCUCUGUUUCUCUUGCCCAUAGGUACAUUUGUUCAUUUUCGUAGACCUGCUAUGUUCUAUUGUAAUUCGAGUUCAAAUGUCAAGUUGCGCCGCCACAAAAUGCUGCUACUUUAACUUCUGUAAGCGCAGCGAGCAGCGUAGGCAGCCGCUGCAGCUGCUCACAUGGAACGUAUGCCUUGUUGCAGCCUCGCAGGUACCCACACCUCUCCCUCCCUCCCUCCCUCCUCUUGAUUUGAUCCCCGUAAAUUCUCAGCUUUAUUUCUGUGGAUUUUUGUUUUAUCUAUGCCUGUUAUGUCUUUGACAAAAUCCAAGCAGAUUGAGGGGAAGAUUUUGUGCUUAGUUUUUUACUCAAGUAUUUCAUCUUUCUCUCAAAUUUAGCUCCAAUGAAUUGAUUUUUUUUGGCAUCACUUUUUUCCCUGGAGAUCAUUAUCAUCUCAUCUCACCACACUCAUGCCACAUAACCUGGCGAGCUCACUCCUUACUCAUUCUAUGUACCACAUUUGUAGAUCAGUUUAAGGUACUGUUAAUGAACCAAAGUUAAUGUUGUUGGCCUUGCCAAAAUGCCAUGCAGCUUAACAUUCGACACUUCCUUCAAAGGGGUCCUUCAGCCUCCAAGGAGAAGGGAAGUGAUGUCUGACAGGGAAAGAAACUAGGCGAAGCUCUGGAUGCUCGAUCGAGUACGCACCCAAUUAGCACUCUACUUCGUCGGUUGUCCACUGAAAUUUGCUCCAUGACAUCUUGCUUGCCAUGUGGUCACCUUACCUCAAAUUUGCUCCAUGACAUCUUGCUUGCCAUGUGGUCACCUUACCUCAAAAUUGACAUAUUAUAAUCUAUGAACUACUACAAGUAAACUAUACAACCAAAUGAUUGUUCCAAAAAUUCAAAUUUGCACCAUGCUUUCCACCUGAUCUGCCAGUUUAACUAUCUUAAUUGUACCGCAGACAUUUGAUGUGUGGUAGUACGUGUGUGAUGAAUCAUGGUGUAGUAGCAAACUACCAACUGAAUGUUUUGACAUACAAUGGAUUUCUUUCUGCCUCUAUUUGAUGCUCGGUGGUGCUGAUCUGAAGGUCCGUGCGGACCCUGCUCUGGACAUAUGUCUCCUUAAUUUCCGUGUGCAAUUGUGCAAUCCAUGCUUUACACUUUAAAAUGAGACAAUAAAAUUUAGCUCAUGUUGCCCUUCCAUCAUGCACCCAGAAUAUAUUACCUUUCUGCUUUUUAUAUUUUGGUUGGGCAUGUUUCAUGAUCAGAGGAUUGAUGAUUUGUUAUGCUAGACAAUGGAAAUAAGAUUUGGUGGAAAACAAAUGAUAUGAUAGGUGAUUUAUGAUGUACUACUAUUUUAGAUAAUAAUACUAAGCUUUUAUUUGGUUGUUCUGCAUUUUUUCCCUUUGCAAAGAUAGAUAUUAUAAGAGAUAAACAUCAUGUACAGGUUAACUUUUUAUGUGCCUAUUAGUAUGCCUUGCUGCCAGGUGGAAAUAGUCUAUAUGAUGCUCAUAAAUAGAGCUUCCUGGUGGGAAGGAUGAGGCACACUCAUUGAUACUUUGGUUUUAUGUCCAUUUGUUAUACAGUUUUUCUCUUCCAAGCAUAUAAACUUUAGCAAAUUAGAGUGUGCAAUCAAGUCUCCUAAGUGAACAGUUUUACCAUAUUAUCAAGUUUGAGGGCAUAUACGACACGAGCAUAUAAGAUAAGAGCAUGUCAUGCUACAUGAAAAUCUGCCUGGAGAUCUAAUUUCGUAUUUUUUUCUAUUUUGUCGGUUAGAAAACCAGUUUCCUGAGUUGUUAGUCUGAGUAUUCAAAUUGAUCCGCAGAGUUCAGGGCUUCUGGAUGGAAGAGUUUCCUACAACGUCAAAAUCUUAGUACUCUCUACAUAGAUUUCGUAAUUUUGCCCGACUUUUUCUGAAGAAUUGUUGAAGUAUCUUUUAUUUGGGUUGGUUGUGCAUUUGCAGUGUUGGAGGUGUUAGUGCAAGAUUGUAGAGUUGGAAAGUAUAGUACAACGUCAAGUCGGUGCAGGGACUUGGUGAAGUCAUCAGCCUCGACUGUGUCUACUUCCCCGAUGGUUUUGACUUCUGACUAGUGAUUCUGAUGCAUAUUACUUGAUGAUUUGGUCUUUGUGGCAGCUUUCAGUUUGAUUUGGCAUUCAGUGGCUUCAUCCUCUUUGGUGCAGCCUGGAGUUAGUAGUGUGCACAUCUGAAUCUCUUGACUUUUUCCUGAAGAUUACGUGGUUUAUGGUGUCUGCUAACUUGCAUGCGGUUUUGAUGGAAUCUGAUCUCGUUUUUAGCUCCCAGUAUAUACAAAAGGCUAGAAGUAAAUGAUGGAAGAUCCUUUUGCUCAAACGAGGGUCCUACUUUCAUACCCAAAGUUUGUAUAGUAGAUAAUCAAAUUUUGGCCUUUAGCUUGCAAAUGUAUCACCUUAUAGAAGUAAAGGUUGCAUCUACAUGAGCUCUGAUUAUCUCCAUAUAUACUUGAAUUGCUUUGGGGUCACGCUUGGAUUUAUCAGACUACCAUUCUACAUACUGUUCUCGAUGAUUGCAUUUGGUUUGUUAAUUUAUGUACCUUAUGUCAAAAAACAUUAUCCAAAAUUAGUUUUUGGUAUACGCAGACUUUGAAAUUUGUUGAUAAAGAAAGAUCACGCCUAAUUUGCUCGCUCUCUGUUGACACUUAACCUGGCCUCCUGACUUUGUAGUUGGAUAAUGUUGAUGACUCGAUAUGCGGAGAGAGGUUAGGAAUUGUUGCUAUGGAUUAAAACAAUGCAGAGUUGAAGGUUCUGAACUGGGAACUUGAACAAAUAGUUUGCCUACCUUUCUUGUGGAAUUGAUUUUUUAGAAGUGAAUGUUCUUCUGGUUGGUGCUUCUUCAGUGGGAUCUGGACCAUGGAAUCUUCAAUUGCAUCUGCUUGGUUCACUGGGAAUUUCCUAGUUUUAAUUUGAUUGACAACUAGCAAAACAGUCCGGCUAAUUUGAUGAUUAAUUCCUGCUGAUUGUACACUUUCAACUCAAGUUCCUGCUGAUUCUACACUUUCAACCCAAGUUACAUUGUACCAUACGCCAGUUUGUUUCAUACCUCGUCCAUCCUGGAUUUUUAGACGCAAAGCAUCUGGAUUUUAAAACAAGAAAUAACAUGUCUUUAACAAAAUUAUUCACACAAAGAUCAUGCCCAAGAUUGAAUCUCUCAUCUUUAAAAUAAAUUUGGACAGCAGGGAUCUCUCAUCUUUACAGUAAAUUUGGACAGCAGGGAUCUCUCAUCUUUACAGUAAAUUUGGAUAGCAGGGAUGAUCAGUAGAAAAGCUAUGAUAGCAAGGAAGUGGUGUUUCUGAACUCGAGCACACAUGUGCUCUUUAUCUGGGCGGUUCGUCAUAGCAUUGGGAUGCGGUGCAUUUACUUUCUGCGUCAGGCUGUUGUUCACUGGAAAAGGGGGAAAUGCAGAAAUACGGCCGACGGGUAUCUUGUAUGGUGGGCCAGGUUUGUGGCGGAGGAGCACCUCCUUUAACGAUUCAAAACAGGGUCGUGGCUCAUGCCGUCAUUCCCGUCCUGAUCCGUGGAUCAGGUUUAGGGCCUCAGUAGCCGAAUAAAUGGAGGGAUGGGUUGCUGGGCAGAGUUCUCUCCUACCUCCGGCUCCUGGUUUUUCCUAUUAUCGAGUGGGGCUAGAUGGGCGGCGGAGCUUCUAUUCGAAGGAAACAAAGGCUAGCGCAGAAGAUGGAAUUUCUGAUGCAAUUGAUUAAAAGAACCACCAUGCUGGAGGACGUUAACGAUGGCAAUGUACUCAUGGAGCCACUACACUGCCAGUGGUCGCAACCGUUGCAGAUCCGCUGCCGCCCAUGGCGGCAGUGAGUGCGGAAGGCCAGAUCUGUUCGGCUGAUGGCGUGGUCGAUACUGAAAUCGAUGGUUUACUGCAAGCAUCUGAGCAGUCGAUUACUCGAUUUGUUAGAUCGACCCAAAAGCCCCAGCAUGGACUCGAAGUGGGGAUCGGUGCUGCCGCACCAGGAAGGUCACCUUGUCCUAAUCGCACUAGUGCACUGGAGAAGGCAAUUCAUGGUUUUGCGGAAAAUCCAGGAGAUGAUGUGAUUGUCCCUGCACUAGGAACAAGCUUUGAUUGUUUGAGUGAAGCCUUCGACUAUUGCCAUGGGACUUCGAUUCUUUUGGGUGAAGCAUAUGACUUUUACAAGCUUCGGUUCUUUGACAAAUCUAUAUUUUAGUAAUCCUCCUUAUUUUCUGAAACUGAUGUAUGGUGGUAUGAUGUACAUUGAAAUGGAUUUCUAAAGUGACAGUAAAUUAGACAACUAUUUUACGAUGUGUAGCCAAAAGCCAAAAGGAUAAUUGCACUAUUAUCAGAAUCAAAUAUGAUUUCAGUCUGGAGAAAA
This is a non-coding RNA of Aegilops tauschii subsp. strangulata, 8554 nucleotides long. NCBI's taxonomy places the organism in Eukaryota, Viridiplantae, Streptophyta, Magnoliopsida, Poales, Poaceae. The record is from RefSeq and is a predicted model, not a curated record.